GUAAAUCUUCGGGGCAGGGUGAAAUUCCCGACCGGCGGUAUAGCCCGCGAGCCGCGCAUGCGGUCGAUUUGGUGAAAUUCCAAAGCCGACAGUGAAAGUCUGGAGGGGAGAAGAUUUUC
RNAcentral lists this non-coding RNA (119 nucleotides) under Thermoanaerobacter pseudethanolicus ATCC 33223. Its description in RNAcentral is "FMN riboswitch aptamer (RFN element)". It matches the Rfam family "FMN riboswitch aptamer (RFN element)". Rfam says of the family: The RFN element is a highly conserved domain that is found frequently in the 5'-untranslated regions of prokaryotic mRNAs that encode for flavin mononucleotide (FMN) biosynthesis and transport proteins. This element is a metabolite-dependent riboswitch that directly binds FMN in the absence of proteins. The record is from Rfam by way of RNAcentral. Lineage: Bacteria; Bacillati; Bacillota; Clostridia; Thermoanaerobacterales; Thermoanaerobacteraceae.